Molecule: transfer RNA, 86 nt
Filed under: Styphnolobium japonicum (Japanese pagoda tree)
Lineage: Eukaryota; Viridiplantae; Streptophyta; Magnoliopsida; Fabales; Fabaceae
Description: tRNA-Arg
Source: RNAcentral
GUCACGAAUCGAAUAAAAAAGGAAGUUCACUGGUUGUCGAUCAUGUCGUUUAACCGGUAGUGUUGGUUCGAAUCCAACUCGUGACA